GAGUGUAUACAGCUUUUUUCCCCUCACCAAUUAUGUGUUUGAUUGUGUGAUGGAGAUAAAAGUUGUCACCAAAGAUUAGAGAAGGAAGAGUUCCAUGUGGGCUAGAAUAGUCAAGGAGACCUUCAUACAGGAGNNNNNNNNNNNNNNNNNNNNUUACGAUACCCUUCCUUCCGCUCCGUCCUCUCCCUCGUCUCCCUCCCUCCUCUCUCUCUCUCUCUCCUCCUCAGCGUUGGUUUUACAUGGUCCUGUGGCAGACCUUCUUCCUCAAGAAAGUGAAGGGAACGUGGAGGGGCUGGACUGACUCUCUUCGCUACUUCUGGCUUCAAAAACUCAUAGAAGGUCCCUGAUGCGUAGAUGAACAAUGACCUCAGACAAGGUCAACCAGCUACCGCCAAAGAACAGAGUACCGGGCCCUGGGACCCCUGCACGUCAGGGAAGGGCUUGCUACGGGCCAGAAAACCAGCGAACCUUCACCUCACAGCAGCUUCCCUGUCAGCGUGGCCUCCCUUCCGGCUCCACAAUGGCGGGCCCGGAACAGACCUCCUGACUCCUCCCAUCUCCGUAUCUACUUAUCAGUAAGUCGGGCCAGCUCUACCCCUAAAAUCCACCUCUCUCCACAUCCACACGAGCCCGCCACCUCGUCUAGGCCACAGCCUUGCCUGGACUGAGGCAGGGACCUCCUUAGGAGCCUUUCCGGGUUCACUCUUGAGCCGCUACAUCCGUUCCCUGACGCGGCUGCCAAGCCCCCUCUGCAGGUAUUCACAGCACUGUCUCUAAUGGGGGUUACCUUGCGCAGUUAAUUGUUUGCUUGUUUUAGGUCUUACCACGACUUUAAGAUUUGCAAUGAAAAAAUACAGGAAGAAAGAAAAAGAGAAUAGCCAAGGAAGAGAAAGUGAGCCAGGGAGGCUCCAGGAAACAGAAGUAACAAAUGAUUUUUCUGAUUUGGGGAUGCAUGAACAUAUUUUGUCAAAAAGCGGCCGUAUAAGAUGGGGAUUUUCUUUCCUACGAGAUAAAAGCAAUUCACAUACUCACAGACCUGAUUCUGAGAUGCAUCAUCCUUUGAACGUGAAUUCCUGUGGUUUUCGGAGUUCGUCCUGGAGAAGGGCUAGGUUGAUCUGUUUCCUCAGAGCAGACUGCACAGCCUUCCCGAAGAAAAACAUGCAGGGCUUAAAAUAUGAAAAUAUGGAAAAAUUAAGGUUAAAGUCCACUGGACAGCAAGAGUUCUCCUGUUCCCGGGUAUUUUCAAGACUCUCUUAAAUGAAGGAUUUGGAUGUUGGAGUUCCUUCUCUUGCAUCUUCCUUCAUUUGUUAAACAUGUGCCAGACCCACUCCAGGGAACCAGCUCCCUAGAGAAUGGCUGACUCCAGGGCUGAGGCAGGAAAAGUACAGGAUCAGCUCCAAAGUAAGGAACUGCUCAAAACAUGAUGGGGACAAAAGGAAACAAGGACUAGUUUGAAGGAGCUGCCACUGGGCACACAUGAGACAAAUUGAGCAUGAAAAUGGCUCAUGAAGGUAGUGGGUGACAACUCACUGGACAAAGAAACCAACCUGUGAGUACAGAAUGCUGGCAGAAAACAAGCAAAUGAAGGUGUGGGAUCCAUGAGAAAGCCUCUCCUUAUAGAAGGCCAACUGAUAAAGGAGUCAGAAAAUGACUGCUUUGAAACCACCAUAAUAAUCGUUGGCCCGGGCAAAGAUCGUCGCUGAAUAUUAAUAUCAUUCAGUGGAAUUGUGGGGUGAUAUUUACAGUUAGUGCCUGCUCAUAAAUUCCUUCCUAUCCAAGGAUGGAAGGUGCCUUUCCAGAAGAUAACUCUGGAUGAUACCACCUUAACCAAGUGAUACCCAAACUGAGACGUCAGCAAAACAAAAGACCCUGAGCACUUCAGAAACGAACUUUCAGCCUCAUGGAACAAAGAAAGGCUAAGGAUUGCUCCUGAUUAAGGAAGUCUAAGGGGACAUGACACCUAAAUGUGACGCAUCACCCUAGAUCGGAUUUUGGUGUUGAGGGGAAAAAGUUGCUUUUAAGGCAAUUUUGUAACCAUCAACAAAAUUUGAAUAUUCACCACAUAUUAGAUAAUAGCAUUGUGUCAAUGUUAAGUUUUCUAAAUUUGAUAAUUGCACUGUAAAUGUGUAGAAUAUAGAGAUGGAGAGAGUUGGCAUGGCUAAGUAUCAAUGGUGGGAGAAUAGAGGGGAAGAGCAUACAAUCAUUAACUUGUAAUAUUCUUGCAACUUUGCUGUAGGUUCUGAAUGUUUUCAAAAUAAAAAGUUUAAUUAAAAAUCUUAAGAGAAGUUGAAUGAAGAAUAA
RNAcentral lists this long non-coding RNA (2301 nucleotides) under Pan paniscus (pygmy chimpanzee). RNAcentral describes it as "lncRNA (ENSPPAG00000045393.1)". Lineage: Eukaryota; Metazoa; Chordata; Mammalia; Primates; Hominidae. The record is from RNAcentral.